GACCUGAUGGUGUAAUGGUAACCAUACCUGCUUCAAGUGGUGUGCUGGAAAUUUUCUUUAUGUAGAAGCUCCCGUUCGAUUCGGGGUUAGGUCA
Non-coding RNA from Mycena metata, 94 nucleotides. The record is from the annotation of a GenBank genome assembly. Lineage: Eukaryota; Fungi; Basidiomycota; Agaricomycetes; Agaricales; Mycenaceae.